Molecule: long non-coding RNA, 201 nt
Filed under: Trifolium pratense (red clover)
Lineage: Eukaryota; Viridiplantae; Streptophyta; Magnoliopsida; Fabales; Fabaceae
Description: long non-coding RNA (TPRA_LNC009177)
Source: RNAcentral
UCAAACUUAAGCACACAAGCUUAAGUUUCCUCAAGUAAUAGUAAAGUAUAUGAAAAUAUACAAAUGCUCUUAGAUGAACCUAAAGAGAGCAAAUACAAAUAGUACAGAGUAUUUGACUAAAGUGCAAAAACACUUGAUAAGAGGUUCAGAGCUUGUAUACACAGAAUUCAGAGUUUGUUCAGCGCACGUUCAAUCCUUGAU